AUGUGCCAUCGUCAGAGAGAGCUAGUAGUAAAGAAGUUCGAUCGAUCCCCCACACUGCUAGUAGCAAAGAAGUUCCAGUCCCCAGAGUGCCAGUCAACCAUCGACGGCCAGACCGCCGCCAAGACCAUGAGCGACACCGCCGUCAUCACCGUGGCCGUCGACAACUCUCUCAUCCGCAAGAGCCGCACCAACCAAUGGCCUGGCGCCCGCAAGGGGCUGCAGACUGGCACACAAUCAGCAGAUGGGAUUGAGAGCGUGAUGUUCACGUACCGAUUCAUGGAGGAGCGGCCGGGCACGUACCGCACUUGUCACGACCGAGACCCGACCACAAUGUUCACCGACGUGCAGGAAAGCGAAGCUGGGUUGUCCCAUUCAGAACACGAUGCAGUCAACGUGCCACACGGAGACGAGGGGCAGACCAGAUACGGAUUCGCUCGCACCGCCGACCGAGAACUCAUGGCGUGUACCCCAGGAGGCAGGGGCAAUGCCGUCCUUGCAUGCCCUCAAGCACAACUCAUGGCCACGGCCAUGUGGGACACGCUGUCCUACUGGUCAGGAGAAUUGCCGAGAGUCACUUUCGGCAAACCUAACUUCACGGCAAACUGCCUUCUUUGCCGUCACAGCCUCACGGCAAAGAGGCACCACACGGCAAACCCUGCAGAUGCCGAGAGCCGCUCACGACAAAGAGGAGCCACGUGGCAUGCCCAUCCGUAG
Molecule: ribosomal RNA, 714 nt
Filed under: Triticum aestivum (bread wheat)
Lineage: Eukaryota; Viridiplantae; Streptophyta; Magnoliopsida; Poales; Poaceae
Description: partial small subunit ribosomal RNA
Source: RNAcentral